Molecule: long non-coding RNA, 417 nt
Organism: Chroicocephalus ridibundus (black-headed gull)
Lineage: Eukaryota; Metazoa; Chordata; Aves; Charadriiformes; Laridae
Exons: 4
Source: RefSeq, a predicted model, not a curated record
GGCGGGGAGGGGGCGCCGCCGCCGCCGGUAAAAUGGCGGGCGGGGCGCUGAGGGGCGGUUGGGGCCAGCGCGGCGCCCGGGGCCCCCCGUCCCCUCGGGAAGCAGCGACGUGACCGAGGCAUGCCUGCAGGGAAGGGACUUCACCUGAGGAAUUCACUCACUCCAAGUAAGAACCUAGAUGUCUUGGAAGCAGCUCCACAGCUUACAGAAUAAGAUGCUUAAGACAACAAAGAUGAUUAAGGGUGACACAGAGCCCCUGAAGAUACUGCAGCUCUUCAGUCCACACGUACAAAUUCAGACAAUCAAGCUGAUGCCAGUUAUGCCAAUAACCAAGAUGUAAUUGUAUGCAAUUGCAGGAAACUGGACCCAGGACAUCCCUCAGGUCUUAUUAAAAACAGUCUUGUAAAAACCAGUCAG